GCGGCUGUGGCGGAACUGGUAGACGCGCAGCGUUGAGGUCGCUGUGGAGUAAAAUCCGUGGAAGUUCGAGUCUUCUCAGCCGCACCA
RNAcentral lists this transfer RNA (87 nucleotides) under Alphaproteobacteria bacterium. Its description in RNAcentral is "tRNA-Leu". It matches the Rfam family "tRNA". Rfam says of the family: Transfer RNA (tRNA) molecules are approximately 80 nucleotides in length. Lineage: Bacteria; Pseudomonadati; Pseudomonadota; Alphaproteobacteria. The record is from RNAcentral. RNAcentral also lists the same sequence under 1 other name.